This 254-nucleotide ribosomal RNA is filed under the name uncultured bacterium. Its description in RNAcentral is "partial 16S ribosomal RNA". It matches the Rfam family "Bacterial small subunit ribosomal RNA", at positions 524 to 776 of the family's 1533-position model. The record is from RNAcentral.
UACGGAGGGGGCAAGCGUUGUUCGGAAUUACUGGGCGUAAAGGGCUCGUAGGCGGCCAUUUAAGUCAGACGUGAAAUCCCCCGGCUUAACCAGGGAACUGCGUCUGAUACUGGAUGGCUUGAGUUUGGGAGAGGGAUGCGGAAUUCCAGGUGUAGCGGUGAAAUGCGUAGAUAUCUGGAGGAACCCCGGUGGCGAAGGCGACAUCCGGGACCAACACUGACGCUGAGUGAGCGAAAGCCAGGGGAGCAAACGGG